ACUGACUUAAAGGGAUUGCGCCAGAUUUGGGCAAAUAAGCCCUGUUCCUGCUUACCCUGAGUGAGAUGAACUUGAGCAUGCUAUCCGUUCCGGUAGACUUCCAGUUAUUGACUCGCACAACUACCCUUGUCUUCCUUCAUUCUGGACGCAGAGAUAUACCAUUUUUAACCAUUACUUCAUCUUGAUUUGGGUAAAUCGAAGCAGGGCUUAAAAUCUCACACUAUCCCUUUAAGAUCCAACUGAUUUCUGCAUUUGACAUCUGUCCUGUAUUUUUGUGUCACUGAAGAGAGCAGUACUAAAUUGCUAAAGCGUUACAUGUUGCGCAUUACAAACGGAAAGCAGAUUUCUGAUUGAGCUGACAAAUGCACGUAACAUUGCCUUUAAAUUUCCAUCAGGCUGUAACUCUGCAUUUCCCUGAUAUUGAUUGAACAGAGUGUAAGGGUGCGUCCUGGUGGCAGGGAAGUCAGGUGCAGGAGAUCCAACUUAAUAUAAAACGGAGCAGUAUAAUUCAUUAAUUAAAUACACAGGUUAAUUCAUUAAAUAUAUACUGUGAAUUUACAAUGUUAUUUGUAAGAGACCCUUAUGUCUCUAUUCAGUCUGGAUCGCUGAAACAUUACAGGUUUUUGGAAAUUAUUUUGUUGGUAUUUUAUUAGGAUCCCCAUAAGUUGUUGCAAAAGCAAAGCUACUCUCAAACACAGAACAUGAAACAUAAUACAGAACGACAUGAUACAGAACAUCAAUAGACAAAAACGGCUCAAGGACAGAACUACAUGAAUGUUUUAAAAAGGCACACGUAGCCUACAUAUCAAUACAUACACACAAACUAUCUAGGUCAAAUAGGCGUUGUGCCUCGAGGUGUUGCUUGAUCUGUUUUUUGAAACCAGGUUUUCUGUUUAUUUGAGCAAUAUGAGAAGAAAGGAAGUUCCAUCCAAUAAGGGCUCUAUAUAAUACUGUACAUUUUCUUGAAUUUGUUCUGGAUUUGGGACUGUGAAAUACCCCUGGUGGCAUAAGUGUGUGUGGAAGAGCUGGGUUGACUAUGGAAACAAUUUGGGAUUUUCAACACCUUAAUGUUUCUUAAUAAAAGAAGAAGUGAUGCAGUCAGUCUUUCCUCAACUCUCAGCCAAUAGAGACUGGCAUGUACAGUAUUGAUAUCAGCCCUCUGAUUACAAUGAAGAGCAAAACGUGCCGAUCUGUUCGGGGCCAGCUGCACGUUACAAAUUUAAAGAUAUCUGCUGUAACUGUCUCCAACAGGUGAUGAGGCCUCACCCAAUGUCAGACCCUCUGCCAGACCACAACCUGGUGGUCCAUUUUUACCUGUUGAUAGGUGUGGAGAG
Oncorhynchus kisutch (coho salmon) is the source of this 1334-nucleotide long non-coding RNA. RefSeq lists it as uncharacterized. The transcript is spliced from 3 exons. Lineage: Eukaryota; Metazoa; Chordata; Actinopteri; Salmoniformes; Salmonidae. The record is from RefSeq and is a predicted model, not a curated record.